UGAUCUUGAUUGUUCUGGAUGUCCUAAAA
This 29-nucleotide non-coding RNA is filed under the name Rattus norvegicus (Norway rat). The record is from RNAcentral. Lineage: Eukaryota; Metazoa; Chordata; Mammalia; Rodentia; Muridae.